Long non-coding RNA from Lagenorhynchus albirostris (white-beaked dolphin), 1555 nucleotides. RefSeq lists it as uncharacterized. NCBI's taxonomy places the organism in Eukaryota, Metazoa, Chordata, Mammalia, Artiodactyla, Delphinidae. The transcript has 3 exons. The record is from RefSeq and is a predicted model, not a curated record.
ACCAGCAGGAACAAACGUAAAAUUUUCUAAGUCCUCCAGGAAGCCCUGCAAGGUUCGUGUAGGCAUGUGUUACCCUCUGCUGGCCUGGGCACAUUGAAAAUGGGAUCUACCAACAGCCCCUCUGAGAUAUGAAAACCAAGAUGUCAGACCUCAAAGGAGCUGAUCAGAGCAGAAGGUAGAAGGGCACCCAGAUGGCAAGGGCUGAGACUGUGCUGGACAUAUAAGCUCCAGAAGCAGGGACAAACCUGUGAGUAGGUGAGUUCCAGAUGAGGAUUCCAUUGAUCUUAGUGAGGCCCUGCUCACUUUACAACAGCUCUUCAGGGACCAGGAAUCUCUUUUUCCAUCUGAAGAGACCCAGGGAAGUAUUCCUUGACCUGCUAGAGAAACCACAAAGAUUUACCUAGGAACAAGGAGGUGUGUUGAAACUCCUGCAGAGAGGACCAUGAGAAGGGUGCACAGAUCUCACACCCAGGCCUGAAAGAUGGGGAACUGCCUCAAAUCCAGCAUCUUGGAUGACAGCUCUGUUCCUGAGUCUCCAUCCCGCUGGGUGGGCCCAGGCGGGAGGAGACGCUGGGAUCAGGAACCACAUCCGGAACAAGUUCCAAAUCCCAUCCAUCUUCCAACACCCAGCUCGCUUCACCAAGCAGCACAGCUGAUGGAAGAGGAACAAGUGAGGUUAGCUCAAAGAAUCAGCCUUAAAGAGCACCUGCCUCAAGGAGUGUACAGAAUAGAUGGAUUUGAAGAAAAGAUCCAGGAGGAGUGUGUGAUUUGUUGGUUGGAGUUUGUGUGUGGGGACUCCAUCAGAUUUCUGCCCUGCGCGCACUUCUAUCACCUGAACUGCAUAAAUGAGUGGUUGACCAGGUCCUUCACCUGCCCCUACUGUCGCAGGCCCAUGGAUGUCACACAGCCUUCAUCCCAGGACCUUAAUUGAGCCAGGAUCCCUUGUUUGAUUUCAAGUGUCCCAUCAUUUUUAGUGAUUUUGAUAUUUUGUCAUCGUGUCUAAGUAGCCAAGGAUUAGGAAUUAAAAUCAUGCACAAAGAUUUCCUAAAAAUUCCUGUCAUGUUGCAGAUGAUGGCAAACAAUUUAUAAUGUUUUAGAAACUUAGGGAGAUAAUAGCAUGUAAAGCCUUGACCAAGUGUUCAGAAGUGUAAUUAUAUCUUAGCAUUUUUCCAGUACAUGGGAUGUAUACCAUGUUGCAGCAGCUAUACAUGUUGUAUUGUGUCUGUUGAAGAUUAGGGAAAAGAAAGUGGUUACUUUUCCUAAGUGAUAUAACUUUCUUCUCCCCAAUCCAAACUGGCAUUUGGACCAAGGUUUUAUGAAAAACUACAAUUUAUACAACUGAACUAAAAUGAAAUCCAAUUAUAUAUGAGUGAAUAAAUGAAGAAUCUUAUUUUCAAAUAACCCUCCUAAAUGGUCUUAUCUUUUUUUUCUCCAUCAUUUUGAGACAUUUAACUUUUUGUCUUGUAAGUCCAAUCAAGGGGAACAGCGUCCCAGGGAAGAACAGUCCUGAGUAGGUUUAUUAGCUGUGUAAUUACGGUGCGUUCAUGUAAUUUAG